Unclassified non-coding RNA from Vulpes vulpes (red fox), 146 nucleotides. The record is from Ensembl. Lineage: Eukaryota; Metazoa; Chordata; Mammalia; Carnivora; Canidae.
AGGCAUCUGCCCCACUCACGGGUUCCCGGAAAGUCCGUGCCGAGUCCACAGGCCUUUAGGCCUCAGGACUAGCUUCCAUGGUGCCGUCUGCCAUUGCUCCCUGUUUUUGCCGGAAAUAGGAUCUUCUUUGUCUCUGGUCGAUCUGC